UCGAGAAACAACAAGAUCCCCAAAUUUCCCCAUUUUCUUUUCAUCUCCCGCUCCAAAAACCAGAUCGAAAGAUGAACUCCACCUUCAUCAUCUUCUACAUAUUUUACCCUUUUACAUAUUUCUGUCUCUCGGCCUCCCGUUGCAAAACCAGAGAGCAAAACGAAAACUUUUACCUAAAUACCACCAUCAACCAGAGAAAGAAAGAUGAACCCAGCCCUCAAAAGUUCAUCUAAAACCUAAACACCAACACCACAUCAUCCAACCUUCACCACCUCGAGAAACCCCCACCACCUUCUUCUUCUUCCUCCAUCUUCUUCUUCUUCUUCACAGUCAGAAGUUGUGAUUCACCAGCAACGAGAUGGAAGUUCUAACAUAAAAAAUAAGUGAAGUAAAUCAUCUUCCUGGUGCAGAGGUUAAAAUCGAAACAACCAAUUUCGAUUAAUCCAACUUUCACAUCUGACGAGAUUGAGAAGAAUCAGUUGCAGGUCUGAGAUGGAGAUGAUGUUGUUGUGUUGUGUUAUUUGAUUGUCUGGGAAGGAAUAGAAGAUGGGUCUGAAACGAAUUGAAGUUUCUGGUUGUGAGAUGCUGAUGGGACUGACAGAGACUGGUGUUGUUGAUGUCUGAGAUGUGACAGUGUGUAUGGGAAUUGCAGUGAUGGAUUGAGCUAGAACUAUAUGUUAAGAUGGGUUUGUGUGAAUUCAAGAUGAAGGAGAUUGUGCUGGUUAUGUUGCAGUGUAUGGCUGUGGUUCUGGUGGUGUUCAUUGUUGCCGUCAGUUGAGAACAAGAAUGGGUUUGUGGCUGUGUUGGUUUGUUGAGCUUAAUGGUGCAGGAAAUCAAGAUUAGAGUCACUGAUUCAAACCAAUCAACAAGCAGAUGGUAUUCAUCCAUAACCACUGGGAGAAGCAAUUCUUCUCCCUCAACACCGAAGUUUAAUUUGAGAAAUGUUUUUUAUUUGAGUAACUGUUAUGAAUCAACCUCUGCAGCAGCAUCAGAUGCCACAGAUUCACCACCUGCUGAAAAGUUUGAGUACCAAGCAGAAGUUAGUCGUUUGAUGGAUCUCAUUGUUCACAGCUUGUAACAAAGAAGUAUUUUUCCGAGUGCUCAUCAGGUAUAUCAUCCAACAAUUUGUUUCGCGAAUAUGAAUUCAAGGUGUGUUGCUUGGCUCUGGCCCUACAAGUUACUGGCGUUGCUUGUCAUUGUGCCUUUCAAUCUCUCUCCUCAUUGCACUGUUUGCUAGAUCUACCAAGAUAAGUGGUUCUAAUAAGUAAUGAACAAAAUUCUUCACCGGUAAAAAAUGCAUUUUCAUCUCAAUACUACGUGGUGUUGGGACAUGACUUCUCAGUGGUAUCAAAAUUUCUUUAUGUCUAGGCGUCGAGGUUUUUUUGUCUUCUUUAAAUUAUGAGGGGACUAGGCAGUAGGAGUUAAAUUAUGAGGGGACUAGGCAGUAGGAGUUAAAUUAUGGAAUGUUUUAUUAUGUAUUAAGAAUCUGAAACCGUUUCCUUGAUUGUGUUGCAGGGAGGGUUCAUUGACUGGGAUGCUAGGGAUGCUGCUCAACCUGAAGCUCUUGGAUUACUUGAAGCGCCGCAAAGGAUUAAGAAGAAAAACUAUAGGAAUAUGAUUAUUAGAGGCGAUGGUACUAAUCUGCCAUAUCUGCUAUUUACAUUUUGAAUGUAGCCAAUAGUUUGAAGUAUCUUUAGCUUUUCACAAUUUGUGUGUUUCACUGUCAGUUUUAGUUUAAGCAUCUUUAACUUUAUAUCAUGGCAGGUUUAGUUUAAGUAUCUUUAGCAUUCAAAACCGUUGCAGUAAUGUUGGUAACUCAAGAACUGAGCACCAUGUGAAUUCACUUGUUUUUAACUGUUUAGCAUUCUUAUUCCAUCACAACAUGGUUCUCUACACCUAGUGUACAUCCAAUUAUAAUAUUAGCAUCCUCGGUCAAUUUUUUUUUAUAAUAUUAGCAUCACAUAACUGACAGGUUUCCUGUCAAAUUCAUUAUGAUCAGGGAAUCUAUUCUUGUUCUUCUUUUCCUCCUUUCUCUUUUUUUUUUUCUUUAUCAUUUUCUCCUCUCAAGAGUUUAAAUGACAAAAUUGAAAUCAUACCACUUCUGAGAAGAGUUCAUUGAGUUACGCUUUUUUUUGGGUGAUUUUAUCUUGUCAUACUGUUCUUCAACUUGGGAGUUUCAUUUAGGGAUUUUGAUAUUUUGCAUGUUGAAUUGAGGCCGACUGUUAGUGUCUCUGAUUGAAUAGAACUCUCUCCAAGUUCCAUUUAACAUGUAGGAGUCAAUAAAUUAAGAAAGGGUUCAAUGUAGAUUGAUAAGAAAUAUAAUAGACAGUCGUAACUCGAUCAUCUCGUCACUGGAAUUGUGUUGUUGCUCCUGCUGAGAGUAAUUGGUGGUAAUCACUAAUCAGUACCUGGGUGCUUUUGGAUUGGAAUCUUAGAGGCCAGCUGAAUUCUCAAUACGUUGCUCUUUCAGCGAUGCAUUGACUUGUGCAUCUUAUGCAACUGCAGCUGACAUGGAAUCGGUUGGCUAUCAAAUGACUACAGUGGCCCAUCUGAAGCAGUCCCAUAAAAUUAUGCUUAGGACCUCUUGCAAAAGAAUAAACAAUCUGGAUCAGAUGAUAUGGAACUGCUAGUGGCAAAAAUUGGCAGAAUCAAGUAAUCAUCUUUAGAUUUGUUUUGCUGCUGGAUGGUAUUUGCAUCUUUGGGUCUCCAAUUUAACUCCAUUGAAUCUGUUACGCGGGCUCAUGUAGUCGUAAUUGUGUCACCAUGGUUGCUCUUUUUCGGAAUGUAUAUGAGUAGAAAUUUUAUUAAAAUUUUACUAGUUAAAAUUUUA
Papaver somniferum (opium poppy) is the source of this 2830-nucleotide long non-coding RNA. RefSeq lists it as uncharacterized. The record is from RefSeq and is a predicted model, not a curated record. Lineage: Eukaryota; Viridiplantae; Streptophyta; Magnoliopsida; Ranunculales; Papaveraceae. The transcript is spliced from 6 exons.